GAUGAACGCUGGCGGCGUGCCUAAUACAUGCAAGUCGAGCGAACGGACGAGAAGCUUGCUUUUCUGAUGUUAGCGGCGGACGGGUGAGUAACACGUGGAUAACCUACCUAUAAGACUGGGAUAACUUCGGGAAACCGGAGCUAAGACCGGAUAAUAUUUUGAACCGCAUGGUUCAAAAGUGAAAGACGGUCUUGCUGUCACUUAUAGAUGGAUCCGCGCUGCAUUAGCUAGUUGGUAAGGUAACGGCUUACCAAGGCAACGAUGCAUAGCCGACCUGAGAGGGUGAUCGGCCACACUGGAACUGAGACACGGUCCAGACUCCUACGGGAGGCAGCAGUAGGGAAUCUUCCGCAAUGGGCGAAAGCCUGACGGAGCAACGCCGCGUGAGUGAUGAAGGUCUUCGGAUCGUAAAACUCUGUUAUUAGGGAAGAACAUAUGUGUAAGUAACUGUGCACAUCUUGACGGUACCUAAUCAGAAAGCCACGGCUAACUACGUG
Molecule: ribosomal RNA, 497 nt
Filed under: uncultured bacterium
Lineage: Bacteria
Description: partial 16S ribosomal RNA
Rfam family: Bacterial small subunit ribosomal RNA
Source: RNAcentral